RNAcentral lists this unclassified non-coding RNA (458 nucleotides) under Melitaea cinxia (Glanville fritillary). Its description in RNAcentral is "misc RNA ENSMCXG00005012739.1". Lineage: Eukaryota; Metazoa; Arthropoda; Insecta; Lepidoptera; Nymphalidae. The record is from RNAcentral.
CCAAAAUGGCAGAAAGCGACAUUGGUGCGUUAUCAUGUGAGCCGAUGAAAUGAUGUUUUCUUGAAUUUUUUCGUCGCGAGUGGAUUUUAAAAUUGUGAAUUAGUGAAUUGUGACAUAGCAAACAAUGGCGGACCUUAAAUCGCCGCCGUUUAGUGACAUUAAAAGACCUGAGGAAGUCGUCAGAAUGACGACUAACGAUAGUCUGAAAUUUGCAGUUCUUAUCGGGCUGAUUAAAGUCGGACAGGUAACCAACCGGGAGGUGGUGAACACUGUUCUGCACCUGCUUUCAAAGAUUCCUUUCCAAGAAGUUUAAAAAUAACGCGAGGAGAAAAACAUUUAAAAGAAUAUUAUAUUUCUCGUUCGAAGUAGCAUCGAGUUACUGCUAAAUAAAGGUUAAUUGGAUGUUGUGUUUGAGAAAUAAACUAUUCCGAGCACUGCCCACGGACACUCAUAUAAUU